GCCCUCCGCAGGAUGCCCGGCACAGCGGCGAGGAGACCGCAGGCUGUGGGGAGGGGCUGAGGUUACUGUCACCUGGGCCGGCCUCACUGGGGUCCCUCCUGCAGUCCACGCACCCCCUGGCACCCGGUCCUACUCGGCCUGGCCUUUCUGCCCGAGGCGGCAGGGACAGGCGCAGGGCAGAUGCCCAGAAGUGGAGCCGCAGGGCUUGGCUAGGGAGCCCCCGUGGGGGUCUGGACAGGCACACGGCAACCCGCCGUCUCCUCCACGCCCUCACCCUCCCCUUCCCUUCGUGUGCUGGGAAGAGGACCCAGGCCCAAGAAGCUGGUCUCCAGCCUGGCCACCUCCCAUGGCACACAGACAAGCCCAACACGAUGGCGGCUCCCUGGACCAGGUGCUGAAAGAGGCCAAGAGGAUUCCCGAGGAGAUCCUGGGGAAAGUCAGCAUCGCGGUUCUCCGGGGCUUGGCGUACCUCCGAGAGAAGCACCAGAUCAUGCACCGAGAUGUGAAGCCCUCCAACAUCCUCGUGAACUCUAGAGGGGAGAUCAAGCUGUGUGACUUUGGGGUGAGCGGCCAGCUCAUCGACUCCAUGGCCAACUCCUUCGUGGGCACGCGCUCCUACAUGGCUCCGGAGCGGUUGCAGGGCACACAUUACUCGGUGCAGUCGGACAUCUGGAGCAUGGGCCUGUCCCUGGUGGAGCUGGCCAUCGGAAGGUACCCCAUCCCCCCGCCCGACGCCAAGGAGCUGGAGGCCAUCUUUGGCCGGCCCGUGGUCGACGGGGAAGAAGGAGAGCCUCACAGCAUCUCGCCUCGGCCGAGGCCCCCCGGGCGCCCCAUCAGCGGUACGG
This 845-nucleotide small RNA is filed under the name Pongo abelii (Sumatran orangutan). Its description in RNAcentral is "processed transcript". Lineage: Eukaryota; Metazoa; Chordata; Mammalia; Primates; Hominidae. The record is from RNAcentral.